GAUGAAGAACGUAGCGAAAUGCGAUAAGUAAUGUGAAUUGCAGAAUUCAGUGAAUCAUCGAAUCUUUGAACGCACAUUGCGCCCGCCAGUAUUCUGGCGGGCAUGCCUGUCUGAGCGUCAUUUCAACCCUCAUGCCCCUAGGGCGUGGUGUUGGGGAUCGGCCAAAGCCCGCGAGGGACGGCCGGCCCCUAAAUCUAGUGGCGGACCCGUCGUGGCCUCCUCUGCGAAGUAGUGAUAUUCCGCAUCGGAGAGCGAUGAGCCCCUGCCGUUAAACCCCCAACUUUCUCAGGUUGACCUCAGAUCAGGUAGGAAUACCCGCUGAACUUAAGCAUAUCAAUAAGCGGAGGA
This 348-nucleotide unclassified non-coding RNA is filed under the name soil metagenome. RNAcentral's name for it is "partial contains 5.8S ribosomal RNA, internal transcribed spacer 2, and large subunit ribosomal RNA". The stretch from base 1 to 120 matches the Rfam family "5.8S ribosomal RNA", at positions 35 to 154 of the family's 154-position model. The record is from RNAcentral.